GAGAACCUCCGGGGGUAAGAGGUUCGACUCGAGCGUAGCGAGAGAACGUUGCGUCAGCAACGGCCCGCAGGGCGAGCCACGCAGUG
This 86-nucleotide small RNA is filed under the name Citrobacter sp. wls617. Its description in RNAcentral is "RtT sRNA". It matches the Rfam family "RtT RNA", at positions 24 to 105 of the family's 130-position model. Rfam says of the family: This family represents a bacterial cis-regulatory element known as RtT RNA. The exact function of RtT is unknown although it is thought that it may be involved in changing the cellular response in relation to amino acid starvation. The record is from RNAcentral. Lineage: Bacteria; Pseudomonadati; Pseudomonadota; Gammaproteobacteria; Enterobacterales; Enterobacteriaceae.